Molecule: long non-coding RNA, 1143 nt
Filed under: Equus caballus (horse)
Lineage: Eukaryota; Metazoa; Chordata; Mammalia; Perissodactyla; Equidae
Description: lncRNA (ENSECAG00000045639.1)
Source: RNAcentral
CCGGAUUGCAAUUGUCUGGCUCCCCCAUGGGCCUUGGAACUCCUUCAAGGCCCAGCCCAGAGGCUAGCUCAUAGUAGGUGCUCAAGAAAUGUUCAUGGAUGGAUGGAUGAAUGAAUGAAUGAAUGAAUGAGUUCUUGUGGGAUGGGCCUAUCUGGGUGCCCUUCUGUGUGAAGGGGAGAUUUUGCCAAUCUGUAGCUCCAUACAUAAAACCAACUCAUAGGUAGGGUCUCCCAGGGAAAUACACUGACACAUAGUAGGUACACCCAACCACACCUAAAAAGAGAAUGGGCUGCCUCCGCAGGCAAUGAGCUCCCCGAGACUGGGGGCAUCCAAGCAGAAGGCACACUUGUCGGGGAAACCAUAGUUGAUUUCAGAAUUACCCAGGUGAUGGCUGAUCUUCUAACGUUUUUAGUCUCUGCUCAACUGAGUCCAAAUCUUCCAAGUCGACCUUAAGGAUGAUGAGGAUGGAGAUGGCGAUGACAGCCAUCACGCAGGAGGGACCUGGACGCAGCAGGACCCGUGGCGGGCCCUCGACAGAAAGAGCACUCACCAGGCCGGCGUCAUACACAACACACGACAGCAAAUGCGUACAAAACUUGAAUCACCAGUUCCUGUUCCUGUGGGCUGGGGGCGGGUGACAGGCCUGCAGCGGGGCCACCACGCGGCUCGGACGAUCCCUUAGCUUUGCUUCUGAGACGCUAAGACGGCCCUUGGGAGAACUACUUCCGCGGAGCUCCUGCAAUGCAAACAAAUGCCCCAAAUAAAAGGGGAAUAAAUUCAGUGGAGAAUUCUGAGGCUGGUGCGUAGAUUUUUGCGGGCAUCCUUUUCCGCAGCGGCUCUUUGUGACGGUCCCGGGCGCGGUCCCCGCCGCGCGUGGCGAUGCUGCCCCCUAGUGGUGAUGGGGAAAGCUGCUGCGGAAGUCGAAGCGUCCAAACCCCCGAAACGCUGGGGAGGCGGCAUCCUGUUAACACCAACCUGGGCGGUGGCUGUUUUUAGCUGGGUCUCUCCUUCUGUGCCACUUUCAUCAUGAAAGCCGACUCUCUAGACCCAAAAAAAGCUGCGACGUGCUAUGCAAAAGCUGUUCGAGGGCCAAUUUUAGCUGCAUUUCUUGGAAUUUGGGCUCCCGGGAGGGAGGAGGGACGG